RNA transcript from Salvia splendens (bonfire salvia), 1680 nucleotides. It is a transcript of the gene named ceramide synthase 1 LOH3, with no coding region annotated. The transcript has 8 exons. The record is from RefSeq and is a predicted model, not a curated record. NCBI's taxonomy places the organism in Eukaryota, Viridiplantae, Streptophyta, Magnoliopsida, Lamiales, Lamiaceae.
AUAAAAAGGGAGAAAAUGAAAAAAAAAAUAAAUAAAAAGACUGCAGGCUAAUCCAAUCAACAAAUAAACGAAGAAAUCGGUUUUACCGAUUCUCUAUGAUUCGAUACACGUAAAUUUGAUUACAUUCGUUUGAAAACCAAAAUAAAUUAAAAUCAUUCUCAAAAUAUCUGAGUAUGUCUUUAAUUCAAUCGUUGGGAUCCAUUGAUUUGGAGCAAGAAUCCUACCCGCAGUAUGGAGAUUUCUUUGUUCUUCCAUUUUUCGCUCUGCUUUUCCCUACUAUCCGGUUUUUGCUUGACAGAUUGGUUUUUCAGAAACUUGGAAUGCGAUUAAUAUAUGGAAAGGGAAAGGGAGUAGCAGAAAAUGAGUCGAAUGAGCAGAAAAAAAAGAUAGCAAAGUUCAAGGAGUCAGCAUGGAAAUGUAUUUAUUAUCUUUCUGCUGAGGUUUUGGCACUUGCUGUUACAUACAACGAGCCUUGGUUUACAGAGACAAAAUAUUUUUGGGUGGGACCUGGAGAACAAGUAUGGCCUGACCAAACAUAUAAGCUGAAACUGAAGGGCCUGUAUAUGUAUGUUGGUGGAUUCUAUACAUACUCCAUAUUCGCUCUGAUAUUUUGGGAAACGAGGCGCUCUGACUUUGGGGUCUCUAUGAGCCAUCAUGUUGCAACUUUUAUUCUGAUCGUGUUGUCAUACGUAUUCAGAUUUGCACGAGCAGGUUCGGUUGUUUUAGCUCUUCAUGAUGCCAGUGAUGUAUUUCUUGAAGUAGGGAAGAUGUCCAAGUAUAGUGGUGCAGAAGCACUGGCUAGCUUCUCGUUUGUUCUUUUUGUGAUAUCCUGGGUGAUACUUCGUUUGAUAUACUAUCCAUUCUGGAUACUCUGGAGCACAAGCUAUGAAGUUGUCCAGACGCUGGACAAGGAUAAACACAAAUUCGAGGGACCAAUCUAUUACUACCUUUUCAAUUCCCUUCUUUUUUCUUUGCUUGUUCUUCAUAUCUACUGGUGGGUGUUGAUGUACCGGAUGCUUGUCAAGCAAAUCCAAGAAAGGGGUCGUGUCAGUGAAGAUGUUAGGUCUGAAUAGUUCAAUGGUCCUUCUGUAAAUUAAUCCGAAAGUCAUCAAUCAAUCUGGGAGAAGCCCAUCAGGCUCUUUGCAUUCCCCCUCUGUUUUUUUGGAAAGGAAGCUUAUGCUGUGGAAUACUGUCUCUCUGUUUCCUUUCGUCUGAAACCCGAAUUCUGAAGACGAAGAUUCUCAUGAAGAUUGACGAAGUAAAAUAUAGUCAGUGCGUUAUUUACAUGAUUGUACAUGAUCCAAGAGCAGCCUACGUUCAUCGAAACAUUCCUUGACUUUGUAAUGAGCAGAAGAUUUACUCUCAAUAAAAAAACUUGCAUCAACUGAAGAUUACCUGAAAAAACAGCCCUUGUCGAAGUGGUAAGCCUGAUUCUUCAUUUUAAAUCUAUGCGAUCCUCGAUAUAUUAGAGCAGUGCCAUUGCCUCUAAAAAAAAGAGAGGAAAAAACGUUCUCCUAUUAAAUAUGUGCAAUGAUGGAUUAAACCAGGAUUUGGACAUUUUAGUCAGUCAAUCUUGAAACUUGCACUGCAAAUUAUGCAGCACACACUUUGUACAAUCUUUCUUACCCCAGUUUUUAUUGAAAUUAAAUUCGGCUACAUGCUUGAUGAUAUUAUGAUGAA